This 516-nucleotide ribosomal RNA is filed under the name uncultured Gammaproteobacteria bacterium. RNAcentral's name for it is "partial 16S ribosomal RNA". Lineage: Bacteria; Pseudomonadati; Pseudomonadota; Gammaproteobacteria. The record is from RNAcentral.
UUACCGCGGCUGCUGGCACGGAGUUAGCCGGUGCUUAUUCUGUUGGUAACGUCAAUCUACUUGGGUAUUCGCCAAAUAGCCUUCCUCCCAACUUAAAGUGCUUUACAACCCGAAGGCCUUCUUCACACACGCGGCAUGGCUGGAUCAGGGUUGCCCCCAUUGUCCAAUAUUCCCCACUGCUGCCUCCCGUAGGAGUCUGGACCGUGUCUCAGUUCCAGUGUGACUGAUCAUCCUCUCAGACCAGUUACGGAUCGUCGCCUAGGUGGGCCUUUACCCCACCUACUAGCUAAUCCGACGCGGGCUCAUCUGAUAACGUGAGGUCCGAAGAUCCCCCACUUUCCCCCUUAGGGCGUAUGCGGUAUUAGCAUCCCUUUCGAGAUGUUGUCCCCCAUUACCAGGCAGAUUCCCACGCGUUACUCACCCGUCCGCCGCUCUACUCAGGCCGAAACCCUUUCGCGCUCGACUUGCAUGUGUUAAGCCUGCCGCCAGCGUUCAAUCUGAGCCAUGAUCAAACUC